GAUGAACGCUGGCGGCGUGCUUAACACAUGCAAGUCGAACGGAAAGGCCCUGCUUUUGUGGGGUGCUCGAGUGGCGAACGGGUGAGUAAAACGUGAGUAACCUGCCCUUGACUUUGGGAUAUCUUCAGGGAAAACGGGCUAAUACCGGAUAGGAGCUCCUGCUGCAUGUUGGGGGAUGGAAAGAUUCGGCGGUUCGGGAUGGUCUCGCGGCUUAUGCGCUUGUUGGUGGAGUAGUUGCUUACCAAGGCUUUGACGGAUAGCCGACCUGAGAGGGUGACCGGCGUCAAGGGUACUGCGGGACGGCGCAGACGCGUACGGUAGGCAGCAGUGGGGAAUCUUGCGGAAUGAGCGGAAGCCUGAGGUAGCAGCGCCGCGUGCGGAAUGACCGCCUUCGGGUUGUAAACAGCUUUGUCCUGUGACGAAGCGUGAGUGACGGUAAUGAAUAAAAAAGCACCGGCUAACUACGUG
RNAcentral lists this ribosomal RNA (468 nucleotides) under uncultured bacterium. Its description in RNAcentral is "partial 16S ribosomal RNA". It matches the Rfam family "Bacterial small subunit ribosomal RNA", at positions 28 to 507 of the family's 1533-position model. The record is from RNAcentral.